RNA transcript from Triticum aestivum (bread wheat), 2790 nucleotides. RefSeq lists it as uncharacterized. The transcript has 4 exons. Lineage: Eukaryota; Viridiplantae; Streptophyta; Magnoliopsida; Poales; Poaceae. The record is from RefSeq and is a predicted model, not a curated record.
UUACAGGUGAUCGAGUCGCCGGUUGAUAUAUACGUCAGGGAGUAGUACGAUCAACCCUGCAUGAACCAUGCGUGUUGGUGAUACUCCUCUAAGGAUUCGAUUGAUUCUUUUUGUGUGUUCUUGCGCGAGAUCUAAGAUUCUUGGGCGCCAAGUGGAAGAUAUAUACUUUGGGUUCGUUCGUAUAGGCAGAGCUGCUUGAUAGCUAAUGGUUCUGUAUUUGUUCUAGCGUCAAUGCUCUUUUUAACUCUAGGGACAACUUACUCGGCUUGAUUCAUAGUCAAUCUUACUAGCUACUCAGAGUACUAGAGCAGCAUGCACGUCAAAAAAUACGAGCAAGGUCUUGGGGGUUGGGACACAGUUAACAGUGACCAAGCAAAGGCCGGUCCAUAUAUUUGCUGAGUCGUAUGCUAGUAUCAAUGUUGCAGUACCAGUGAUAACCUGAGAGUUGUUGCAAAUUUCUUUCAUUCGGCUUCAUUUGUUUAUGCUGCUUGAGGUUCCCUUUUGCGGUGCAGGCAACAGCAGAGGACGAAUUCGGAAUUCGCUUGUGGGAUCUCAGAAUGCUUAAGCAUCCACUACUGCAUGUCUGCACCGAUCUGUUCCUAGAUAGUGCUCAGGUCGAUCAGUGUGGUCAACCGGAAGCAGCCGCACGACGGCGAUGUCGUCCGGAUCGUGAGCACCAGGAGCAGACCGCAGCUCGCCGCCACAUUCCAGUGCUACAAGGAACAACAUGGCAGUGACAUAGAAGAUGUUUAUUAAUUAUCACCUCUUUUUGUGUCUAACUAAUAGUAGCAAUAUACAGUAUAUCUGUCAAGUAUCCGAUUCACGGACCAACUGGUGAACUGAAGCGCUUGUUCUUGUUGCUGCUGCUGUUGUUGCAGGACAUGAAGCAGUACAGCAGCAGCCAGUUUGCAAGGAUGCUCAAGAUUGCUGUCUGGUGCCUCACAUCUCCUGAAAAGCACUUUUCAGAGGUACGCCACGACACGCAGAUCAACCUCACCCUGCGCACCCGCUGGUGGCUGCACUGCAUCACGCGCAGCCGCGAGUGCGACGCCAGGCUCGUCGUGUCCAUGGGGGAACAGGUGAAGUGUCCAGCUAUGCUUCUCACUGACUAGUCACACUGGCAAGUCGAACGCGCAUGGAGAGACGACCCUCGUUACCACUCUGUACGCUGAUCUUGAUUUGCGACUGGGGUGUGCAGUACGUCCGCAGGUGCCACGGAUCUGGAGCCUGAUGUUGCUGCUGAAGAGCAGAGCGAUUAGGCUCCCCCAAAAUGACAUCUAGAGGGCUUUACUCAUCAGGUGAGUUGAUGUUUGCCCGAGCGCUUUGACUAGCAAUGCUUUUUUUUCUGAGAGAGAGAGGUGAUAUUGAUGCUGUGGUUGCUGUUUCGUGCUUUGUGAGAUGGUAGUUGGUAGUGGGAUAGGCUGUUGUCCUUGUUGGGUAGAAUGUUUGCCUUGCCCUGAUCUGAUCUGUGUGUUGUGCCUGUGUUUCGGUGCUGGUAAGAUGCCAGAAUCCAGCAACAGAUGUGAGGCUUGCCACUGAAUAAUUUUGUUGACCAACUUUUUUAUAAACAGAACACAUGGAAGAAAAGGCCUAUGCAGUAUUGCUUAGUCUAUACUUAUACUGUAUAGAUUUUACAACCUGAUAUGAUCAGCGGAGAAUAAAACAGUGCAAGUGCCUGCCAGUAGCACCAUGAUCAACUUUGCAUACUAGUAGCUGCUAUACACAUACAUAUUUCACCGUGAGUAGUUAUUCUAGGCAUAGAAGCUGAACACAUCUUCAACAGUUAUUCUAAACACAUAUUUUGAUGUGUAACCUGUUAAUGAAGUAUUGGUUGAUUGUGAUUCCAAGCAUAGAUCUCUUGGCGUUACUACUUGUUACUGCAAGCAUGUUGUGUUGACAUACUGCAUUUCGAUCUGAAUAUGUUGGCAAGAGUGUCUAAAUUAAUUUAGUAUAUAUGCACGUUUCAUCUUAGUCUCUUAGUAUGGUUGGAUGUGUGCUUCAGGGGGAUAAACUGCUAUCUAUGCUCCUUAUUGGCUCUGAAGUUUUAUGUCUGUCCAGUGUGUAAGGAGCUCUAAUUUCUCUUUCUAGCGCCUAAAUUAUGCCAUGUGUACUAGGGGGAGCUAGAUGUAUGAUGUACGACAACGGGAAUGGGACCUGGUGAGGAAAGGAACCUACUGGGUCAACCAGAUCGAGUCCCUUCUCUACAUGUUGGUUUUGCUCCCUUGCACAGCAGUAAAUGCCUCUACAAACAUGAUACUAUAUACAUGCAUGUCAUAGUCAGCAGUUAGCGUUGGCAAUGAAGUGAACCAUGAGAUUACAUUUUGCUUUGUCUUGUUGAUAAUGCCAUAUGUCUUGCAAUCAGACUUCAUUUCUGUUUGUUAUGGUAAUAUUUUCAUAGUGCUAUAGAACAUCUAGUAACAAGAAUAUGAAAUUGUAAAUAGCAAAAAAUUCUUGUCUUGUGCGGUCUAAGUCCAAGGAAAUAAAAAAAAUUCUCUUAUACAAUUUCAUCUACAUCGAAUUUAUAUAUCAUAGUGCCUUUUAUUUCUUUAGUUUGAUUGUUUCCCUUGUAUUCAAUAUGCUUCUAAUGGCUGAUCCUUACAUUUUUGAUGUGGCAUCUUUUUUUCAUAGGUGUUGUGUGUUUUGUAUAGGAACACAAUUUUUGUAUUCUGUUUUGUUGUAUUUAUGAUUUGAUAGUUUUGUAUAGGAACAUGUGAUACUAUUUUGUAGGGCUUUAUGGCCUGUGAUGUAAACAUAUUUAGUGAUGAAUUAUGAAAUUAUUUGCAAAAUUUA